This 29-nucleotide non-coding RNA is filed under the name Mus musculus (house mouse). Lineage: Eukaryota; Metazoa; Chordata; Mammalia; Rodentia; Muridae. The record is from RNAcentral.
ACCCUGAAAAGUAACCGCUAGGUCAGCAA